GAGCACUGUGCAGUGACAUCCCCACUGCUCCUCACCAGCAUCAUCCUUGUGGGUUCCCUCUUUGGUCCUUCACAGUAGAAAUCUAGGACUUACUGGAUCCUCUAGAAACCCCAGCCCGUCUCAUCACCAGGAGCGCGCUGUUCAACGGUGGCUGUGCUGCAUUGCUAGUCGGAUGACCUGGCCUUAAACCCUACGGCCCUACUGAAGCACAAAGAGCAAGAGAUUCGCACUGUUGGAAGAAAAGGACUUCUUUCUAAGAAACUACAUCUUCUACGGGAACUCAUUGAACACCACUGCUUAACGCUUAGUUGGUUCCUUCCAAGACUCCAUGGCAUCAAGGACUAACUAACUGAGACCUGGGAAACCAGAGGGAAAGAAGGAUACCAAAGUUGAGAUGCUUCAGUGAUGUUUCAGAUGUGAAAUUGUUUAGUUUUCUUGGGGAGGAAAAGCACUCGUGAGUGAAGGUGCCCUACCUGAGAAGCUGUGGGAAGUAGAGACCCAUCCAACCUCACAGAACUCCCAGGCUGGAUUUUAUAGACACUGCUUCGGCAACAAUGAAAAUGGAGCAGAUCGUGGGAAGGUUUGCAAAGUUGCAGGAUGAGAGACAGGACACACACCUGUCAGCUCACUUGGUACCCAGAAGCAAGAGCUCAAACCUGUAAUGUAAUGGAUCUGAACACCCGAGUACAUGAACAAUUCAGCAAGGGAACUUCAAAUUUUUCAGGAACUAUACAUUCCAGAACUUCUUCCAACCUGGCACACUGGCUUUGUGGAAUUAGAAUUCUAAUGCUGUGAACGCAGAGCUCAGAGAGAUCAAGGGUCUGGAUAUCAGGCACAGCCAGAAGUUUGUGGAUUUAGACGCCUGAAAUAUUCACCCUAACUUUCAAUCCAUGAUUUUCUUUGAGCAUUCAUUCAAAUCUGAUGCUGAAACCAAUGUAAGUUGGUGGGAACAAGGCCAACUCUGAAGCGUGCUUACAGUGACAAUGAAACCCUUAAAGCCGACAAAAGAACAAAAGACUCAGCGUACCACGGCAAAAUGCUAAAAGCUAUGGUGUUUAGGGCAGAAGGAAGCCAUGUUUCUAUUCUUCCUGACACCGAAACAUCCUUUACAAGACUAACUACAAGACGCUGUGGAUUACCAUUUUCAGUCGCACAAAGCAAGCAAUUCCUAUAAAGACACAGCAGCUUCUUGCCAUAUUGGAAAAGAAGCCCCCACCCCUCAACCUCUGGAAGCCAUGCCUUUCACCGUCUGACUCUCUCACUGGUGACCUGGCUACUGAGCUGGUGUUUAGGAUGCCAUCAACCCUCUGUGGAUAAUAUGACAAGGUGGCAAAAUGAACAACCUCAAAAUCUCAACUUCCAUUUGAAUUUUGCCCUAAAGAGAAAAAUUUCGA
Long non-coding RNA from Myodes glareolus (Bank vole), 1394 nucleotides. RefSeq lists it as uncharacterized. The record is from RefSeq and is a predicted model, not a curated record. Lineage: Eukaryota; Metazoa; Chordata; Mammalia; Rodentia; Cricetidae.